RNAcentral lists this ribosomal RNA (42 nucleotides) under Elymus antiquus. RNAcentral describes it as "partial 18S ribosomal RNA". Lineage: Eukaryota; Viridiplantae; Streptophyta; Magnoliopsida; Poales; Poaceae. The record is from RNAcentral.
UCGUAACAAGGUUUCCGUAGGUGAACCUGCGGAAGGACCAUU